GGUUUUUUAAGAAUAUAUGCAGUGUGUGAGCGUUGAAAAUAUUUCAAAACAGGCCGUAUUCCAUGUCAUGAUAUUAAGGGAAAAUAUAAGCCAAGUUUUGAUAAUUAUGAGAGGACGAAACAAGACUUAAAAGACCAGAACGUAGGGAGUUUUCAAUAUGUAAACAAUUAAUAUAAUGGUUCCGUUUCCCUAAAUGUAGCAGAAGUUUACGUUAAAAAGACGUGUUAAAUGCACGAAAAGCAAUCCUAAUGUCGUUGAAAUCGGUGAAAUAUAUGACAAAAUAACAG
Molecule: non-coding RNA, 287 nt
Organism: Paramuricea clavata
Lineage: Eukaryota; Metazoa; Cnidaria; Anthozoa; Malacalcyonacea; Plexauridae
Source: the annotation of a GenBank genome assembly